This 483-nucleotide ribosomal RNA is filed under the name uncultured bacterium. RNAcentral describes it as "partial 16S ribosomal RNA". It matches the Rfam family "Bacterial small subunit ribosomal RNA", at positions 29 to 507 of the family's 1533-position model. The record is from RNAcentral.
AUUGAACGCUGGCGGCAUGCUUUACACAUGCAAGUCGAACGGCAGCGCGGGCUUCGGCCUGGCGGCGAGUGGCGAACGGGUGAGUAAUACAUCGGAACGUGCCCAGUAGUGGGGGAUAGCUCGGCGAAAGCCGGAUUAAUACCGCAUACGACCUGAGGGUGAAAGCGGGGGAUCUUCGGACCUCGCGCUAUUGGAGCGGCCGAUGGCAGAUUAGCUAGUUGGUGGGUAAAGGCCUACCAAGGCGACGAUCUGUAGCUGGUCUGAGAGGACGACCAGCCACACUGGGACUGAGGCACGGCCCAGACUCCUACGGGAGGCAGCAGUGGGGAAUUUUGGACAAUGGGCGAAAGCCUGAUCCAGCAAUGCCGCGUGUGUGAUGAAGGCCUUCGGGUUGUAAAGCACUUUUGGCGGGAACGAAAAGGACUGUGCCAAUACCACGGUUCGAUGACGGUACCCGCAGAAUAAGCACCGGCUAACUACGUG